AGAAAAUUAGAAUAUUGUGAAAAGGUUCAAUAUUGAAGACACCUGGUGCCACACUCUAAUCAGCUAAUUAACUCAAAACACCUGCAAAGGCCUUUAAAUGGUCUCUCAGUCUAGUUCUGUAGGCUACACAAUCAUGGGGAAGACUGCUGACUUGACAGUUGUCCAAAAGACGACCAUUGACACCUUGCACAAGGAGGGCAAGACACAGAAGGUCAUUGCAAAAGAGGCUGGCUGUUCACAGAGCUCUGUGUCCAAGCACAUUAAUAGAGAGGCGAAGGGAAGAAAAAGAUGUGGUAGAAAAAAAGUGUACAAGCAAUAGGGAUAACCGCACCCUGGAGAGGAUUGUGAAACAAAACCCAUUCGAAAAUGUGGGGGAGAUUCACAAAGAGUGGACUGCAGCUGGAGUCAGUGCUUCAAGAACCACUACGCACAGACGUAUGCAAGACAUGGGUUUCAGCUGUCGCAUUCCUUGUGUCAAGCCACUCUUGAACAACAGACAGUGUCAGAAGCGUCUCGCCUGGGCUAAAGACAAAAAGGACUGGACUGCUGCUGAGUGGUCCAAAGUUAUGUUCUCUGAUGAAAGUAAAUUUCGCAUUUCCUUUGGAAAUCAGGGUCCCACAGUCUGGAGGAAGAGAGGAGAGGUACACAAUCCACGUUGCUUGAGGUCCAGUGUAAAGUUUCCACAGUCAGUGAUGGUUUGGGGUGCCAUGUCAUCUGCUGGUGUUGGUCCACUGUGUUUUCUGAGGUCCAAGGUCAACGCAGCCGUAUACCAGGAAGUUUUAGAGCACUUCAUGCUUCCUGCUGCUGACCAACUUCAUGGAGAUGCAGAUUUCAUUUUCCAACAGGACUUGGCACCUGCACACAGUGCCAAAGCUACCAGUUUCUUAAUUGGCCAGCAAACUCGCCUGACCUUAACCCCAUAGAAAAUCUAUGGGGUAUUGUGAAGAGGAAGAUGCGAUAUGCCAGACCCAACAAUGCAGAAGAGCUGAAGGCCACUAUCAGAGCAACCUGGGCUCUUAUAACACCUGAGCAGUGCCACAGACUGAUCGACUCCAUGCCACGCCGCAUUGCUGCAGUAAUUCAGGCAAAAGGAGCCCCAACUAAGUAUUGAGUGCUGUACAUGCUCAUACUUUUCAUGUUCAUACUUUUCAGUUGGCCAAGAUUUCUAAAAAUCCUUUCUUUGUAUUGGUCUUAAGUAAUAUUCUAAUUUUCUGAGAUACUGAAUUUGGGAUUUUCCUUAGUUGUCAGUUAUAAUCAUCAAAAUUAAAAGAAAUAAACAUUUGAAAUAUAUCAGUCUGUGUGUAAUGAAUGAAUAUAAUAUACAAGUUUCACUUUUUGAAUGGAAUUAGUGAAAUAAAUCAACUUUUUGAUGAUAUUCUAAUUAUAUGACCAGCACCUGUGUAUAUAUAUAUAUAUAUAUAUAGCCUAUAAGCCAAAUAUGACUUUUCUACUUUUCAAUAAUAUCUCUUGAUUGAUGAAAAAAAUAAAUAAAAUAAAAAUUAUAAAAUAAAUAAAUAAAUAAAAAUUCAUUAUGUGUUUCAAAGGAAUUGGGCUUUGUAGAAAUGACAGAGUGGAAGGAUGGACUGUAGGAAUGGUCAAACUACACUGUUUACAGUAGGCUAUAACAAUUUCUUUAUAACCAUUCAAUGUUAUAAGAUAUCACAAACUAGGCUGCAAUAAUAUAACUUCAUAUUUAAAAAUUGCUAUUACACAUAAUGUAAUGUCAGUUAUGUAAUGUCUAAAAUAAAAUGUCAGAAGAUUUACUACAUGUCGCAUAGAUUGUGGUCACUUGCACAUCAUGAUGCCUUCGCAUGUUCAGUAUCCGUUCAUUUGCUUUGGUCGAAAACCAUCUCCAGUUACAAAUUUCCCUAUUUCUCUCUCCCUCUCUUUCUCUCUCGACUUUCAGCGGAGCUAGAUCUCCUCCAAAGACACUUCUGUCUUAUAUUUCUUUACCUACAUCCUCAUUUCAUUACCGCAGCACACACUGGACAUUUAACAUGAUAGAAAUUACAGCCUGUUUUAGCAAUGACUCCAAUAUUAUCCAUUCAUACCCCAAAUCAGAGCAAUUAUUUGCGUUUGCGUCUCAGAGUAAGGACACACUUGAGGUUUAAAGGGAUGCUGCUCAGGACGCGGUGCGCAGGAGACGGGCCUGUGCGCCAUCCAUCCCUACCCACAUUCUCAGGGAGGAGGGGGAGACGGGCUCGUGCGGGUGGGUGACAAACAGAGGUAGAAGACACAGAAGGCGCGUGUGCAUGUGUUGCUCUUCAGUCUGUAACGACACUGGAGCCGAAUGAAUGAACUUCACAGAAGCGCGCAUCAUUUUAGGCAGGUUUUGAGGCAUUUUGAGAUUAGCUUCAGAGACUAAUGGAUAUAAUGUCAUAGUGACAGCAAUGUGCAAGGACUGAAUGUUUAUUAAAAAAACCUUUUUGAGUCAGAAGUCCAGUUAAACAAAUGCAUGUUUUCUGUAGUUUUGUAUGUUUAGUGUUAAAGACUGUCUUUAAACAUUUUUCAUAAAGGCAAAGCUGCAAAACGGCCAAUAAUGUUUUAUGUGUACAGUGUUUAAAAGGAAGGAAUCCCAAGCUAUUUGUUGCAUGAUCUCUUCAAUAAGUAACGAAUAAAAUAGUAUAACAAAAUAUAAUUUUAAAUAUAUGUAUAUGCAGUGUUGGGGUAACGCAUUACAAGUAAUGUGAGUUACAUAAUCAGAAUACUUUUUUCAAGAAACUAGUGAAGUAACACAUUACUUUUAAAUUUACAAUGAAAUAUCUGUUACGUUGUCAUAUAAGUAACACAAGUUACUUUGUUUUCAUGUACUGACAGCUCUCCUAUCCCCAUGUUGAGAGAAAUAAAGUGCAGAGGUGUUGUG
This is a long non-coding RNA of Ctenopharyngodon idella (grass carp), 2863 nucleotides long. RefSeq lists it as uncharacterized. NCBI's taxonomy places the organism in Eukaryota, Metazoa, Chordata, Actinopteri, Cypriniformes, Xenocyprididae. The record is from RefSeq and is a predicted model, not a curated record. The transcript is spliced from 2 exons.